This 285-nucleotide ribosomal RNA is filed under the name uncultured bacterium. RNAcentral describes it as "partial 16S ribosomal RNA". It matches the Rfam family "Bacterial small subunit ribosomal RNA", at positions 333 to 635 of the family's 1533-position model. The record is from RNAcentral.
AGGGCCCUACGGGACGCAGCAGUGGGGAAUAUUGCACAAUGGGGGAAACCCUGAUGCAGCGAUGCCGCGUGAGUGAAGAAGUAUCUCGGUAUGUAAAGCUCUAUCAGCAGGAAAGAUAAUGACGGUACCUGACUAAGAAGCCCCGGCUAACUACGUGCCAGCAGCCGCGGUAAUACGUAGGGGGCAAGCGUUAUCCGGAUUUACUGGGUGUAAAGGGAGCGUAGACGGCAGGGCAAGUCUGGAGUGAAAGCCCGGGGCCCAACCCCGGGACUGCUUUGGAAACUG